CUCGACUCCAACUUUCCCAAUUUUGUCAGUGCCUUGUCAAAUGUCCUCACAGGACGUGAGGGCAAGGCGUGGUGAGGGCAGGGAUGCGCUCUCCACGCCGGUUUGAAAACAUGGUGCUGAUAAAAUUGGAUCAGUAAGUUGGUUG
This is a regulatory RNA element of Paraglaciecola sp., 145 nucleotides long. NCBI's taxonomy places the organism in Bacteria, Pseudomonadati, Pseudomonadota, Gammaproteobacteria, Alteromonadales, Alteromonadaceae. The record is from Rfam.